Molecule: long non-coding RNA, 1632 nt
Filed under: Macaca fascicularis (crab-eating macaque)
Lineage: Eukaryota; Metazoa; Chordata; Mammalia; Primates; Cercopithecidae
Description: lncRNA (ENSMFAG00000059911.1)
Source: RNAcentral
UUUUUUUUUUCUUUUUGAGAUGAGACAGGGUCUUGCUCUGUUGCAUCUAGAGUGCAGUGGACUUUACACAUUUCUUUGACUUCUUUCUCUACUGGAUCAUGUGUUAUUGUAUAAUUUCUUUAAUAUAAUGACUGUGUGAUUAAACCCAGGGCAAGCCAGAGUCAAUAAAUCAGUUACAUGUAUGUGAUAUUGUUGAUACACAUUUUUAAAAUCACAUUUUAGAAAAUCAAAAAAUUAAGGCACUUUGCAAAUCCAAUCUACUUUUCUUUUAUAAAACAGGAAGGAAUAUUAGAAACACAGGAAGUUGAACAUCUUGAUAAAUGCCAAGAAAGAGACUGUGCCUUGGAGGAAAGGCUGGCAUGGAGCCAGUAUCCUUCUGUGCCCCUGGUGUCACCAGACCCAGGAUCAGAUCAAUGAGAAAGAAGGGAAAAGGGAAAUUAAAAGAAGCAGGAGAUAUGGAGAGGAACGAGAGAAAGAAGAGAAGGAAAAGGAGUUGAGAGGGAAGAGAAGAGAAAUUCACAGGUAGAAUUGGUGGCUGAGCUGUGGAGAAACUGCAAAGCGAGAGAAAGCCCUCCAACGCUGAAAUGCAAUAAGACUGCAUGACUCCAUCACAUGCUCAGCCCCAACCUUGCCCAUUUGGAUAAAGUGGAUUCCAUUUGGUAACGGUUGGCAGUAACUGUCAUUUCUGAAAUGCCGAGGGCCCACGUAUACAACAAGUUGACACCUUUAUAGUAGUAUUUAUAGCUCAGACACUUUAAAACAUGACUGUGGGCUGGGUACAGUGGCUCAUGUCUGUAAUCCUAGCUCUUUGGGAGUCUGAGGCAGGAGGAUCACUUGAGCCCAGGAGUUCGAGACCAGCCUGGGUGACCCAGUGAGAACUCAUCUCUACAAAAAAAAGGUAAAAAUUAGCUGGCCAUAGUGGCACAUGUCUAUAGUCCUAGCUACUAAGGAGGCUGAGGCAGGAGGAUCACUUGAGCCUGGGAGGUAGAGGCUGUAGGGAGCUGUGAUUGCACCACUGCACUCCAGCUGGACAGCAAAGUGAGAUACUGUAUCAAAAUAAAUAAAUAAAUACAUACAUACAUACACAAAUAAGUGAACCUGUGGUAGAGUAGAGAAUGUAGAGACAGAAGUUUAUGUGGCAGGAAGGGGGCAUGUGAUACCAGGCUAAACAAGAGGCCCAAGUGGAGGGACACAUAGGGCCAUGUAGGUGUCCUGUCAACUCCAUGGAAGAGGUUUCUGGGGAUGUCCCAGGCCAUGUUGCCUGAGUACCUGUCUGCCUGAGACUCAUUCUAUUCCUGAAAGUCUGCAACCAUCAGUUGUAUUCUUACAUUGAUUAUGGUUCAACGGUAUGGUUUCUCCAAAUAAAUGUCCUGGCCACCACUUAGAAAUGAUCCAUAAUUUCUUGUUUGGGUCUUAGUUUUUCCACUUAUACAAUUUUUUACUUAUUUUAUUUUUUAUCUGCUUCAUGGGCAUGUUAAUGUGUACGGUUAACAGGCAAUCAUUAGCAGUUACCAAGUGAAAGACAAAUGACAGAUGGAAUAUUUUGAUCUGUCCCACACAUGUUUCUUGGUGAAGGUAUUCAGGCCACUCCAGGGGCCAGUCUGGAAGCCUUAUCUGAUCAGGGUAGGGCAU